UGCUAUGAUGAUGUAAUUUGCGUCUUAUCCAGUGUUCAGUGACAGUUGCCUGCUGUCAGAGUGCUGGCACUGUUGAACUGAAGACCACUUCAUUCUGAGCA
Molecule: small nucleolar RNA, 101 nt
Filed under: Grus americana (Whooping crane)
Lineage: Eukaryota; Metazoa; Chordata; Aves; Gruiformes; Gruidae
Also listed under: 1 other name
Description: Small nucleolar RNA SNORD16
Rfam family: Small nucleolar RNA SNORD16
About the family: U16 is a member of the C/D class of snoRNA which contain the C (UGAUGA) and D (CUGA) box motifs.
Source: Rfam by way of RNAcentral